AAUCCAUGGUGAGAACACUCCCUGCAAUACUCACUAAACCUCUCCCUAGCAUCACAAAAUGGGUCAUCAACAUGCUGCUGAAACGAUGAAAUCUUGUUUUGAAGAGC
Molecule: small nucleolar RNA, 107 nt
Organism: Raphanus sativus (radish)
Lineage: Eukaryota; Viridiplantae; Streptophyta; Magnoliopsida; Brassicales; Brassicaceae
Source: RefSeq, a predicted model, not a curated record